Molecule: ribosomal RNA, 464 nt
Filed under: uncultured bacterium
Lineage: Bacteria
Description: bacterial SSU rRNA
Rfam family: Bacterial small subunit ribosomal RNA
Source: RNAcentral
AUUGAACGCUGGCGGAAUGCUUUACACAUGCAAGUCGAACGGCAGCACGGGGGCGAACCCUGGUGGCGAGUGGCGAACGGGUGAGUAACACAUCGGAACGUGCCCAGUCGUGGGGGAUAACGUAGCGAAAGCUACGCUAAUACCGCAUACGAACUCUGGUUGAAAGCGGGGGACUCGCAAGGGCCUCGCGCGAUUGGAGCGGCCGAUGGCAGAUUAGGUAGUUGGUGGGGUAAAGGCCACCAAGCCGACGAUCUGUAGCUGGUCUGAGAGGACGACCAGCCACACUGGGACUGAGACACGGCCCCAGACUCCUACGGGAGGCAGCAGUGGGAAUUUUGGACAAUGGGCGCAAGCCUGAUCCAGCCAUUCCGCGUGCAGGAUGAAGGCCCUCGGGGUUGUAAACUGUCUUUUGUACGGAACGAAAGGUCCUUUCUAUACAGAGGCUCAUGACGGUACGUAAGAAU